GGGCGGCGUGCUAUAAUGCAAGUCGAGCGAACUUGCGGGAGCUUGCUCCCAAAAGUUAGCGGCGGACGGGUGAGUAACACGUGGGCAACCUGCCUGUAAGACUGGGAUAACUUCGGGAAACCGGAGCUAAUACCGGAUAAUUCUUUUCUACACAUGUAGGAAAGCUGAAAGAUGGCUUCGGCUAUCACUUACAGAUGGGCCCGCGGCGCAUUAGCUAGUUGGUGAGGUAACGGCUCACCAAGGCAACGAUGCGUAGCCGACCUGAGAGGGUGAUCGGCCACACUGGGACUGAGACACGGCCCAGACUCCUACGGGAGGCAGCAGUAGGGAAUCUUCCGCAAUGGACGAAAGUCUGACGGAGCAACGCCGCGUGAGUGAUGAAGGUUUUCGGAUCGUAAAACUCUGUUGUUAGGGAAGAACAAGUACCGGAGUAACUGCCGGUACCUUGACGGUACCUAACCAGAAAGCCACGGCUAACUACCUGGCAGCAGCCGGGGUAAUACGUAAGUGGCAAGCGGUGGCCGGAAUUAUUGGGCGGAAAGCGCGCGCAAGCGGUCCUUUAAGUCUGAAGGGAAAGCCCACGGCUCCACCGGGGAGGGUCAUUGGAAACUGGGGGACUUGAAUGGAAAAGAAGAAAAUGGAAUUCCACGUGGAACGGUGAAAUGGCUAAAAAAGGGGAAGAACACCAGUGGCGAAGGCGACUCUCUGGUCUGGAACUGACGCUGAAGCGCCAAAGCGUGGGGAACGAACAGGAAUAGAUACCCUGGUAGUCCACGGCGGAAACGAUGAAUGCUAAGUGGUAGAAGGUUUCCGCCCUUUAAUGGUGCAGCAAACGCAUUAAGCACUCCGCCUGGGGAGUACGGCCGCAAGGCUGAAACUCAAAGGAAUUGACGGGGGCCCGCACAAGCGGUGGAGCAUGGGGUUUAAUUCGAAGCAACGCGAAGAACCUUACCAGGUCUUGACAUCCUCUGACAAUCCUAAAAAUAGGACUUUCCCCUUCCGGGGAACAAAUGACGGGUG
Molecule: ribosomal RNA, 1020 nt
Filed under: Cytobacillus gottheilii
Lineage: Bacteria; Bacillati; Bacillota; Bacilli; Caryophanales; Bacillaceae
Description: bacterial SSU rRNA
Rfam family: Bacterial small subunit ribosomal RNA
Source: RNAcentral